This is a long non-coding RNA of Pan troglodytes (chimpanzee), 5483 nucleotides long. RefSeq lists it as uncharacterized. The transcript is spliced from 13 exons. NCBI's taxonomy places the organism in Eukaryota, Metazoa, Chordata, Mammalia, Primates, Hominidae. The record is from RefSeq and is a predicted model, not a curated record.
AUGGAUUUUGGUAUAUGCAGAGAUGGGGUGCUGGAACUAAUUCUGUAUACUGAGGGACGACGACUGUAUAUGUUUUUACAAUUACGCUGUAGGAUACAUUCUGUUGCAUAGCCUUGAAAAUAAUAAUUUUUAACUGAGUGGAAUAAUAAUAAUAAUAUUGCUAAAAGUAGCAGCUGGCCAGGUGUGGUGGCUCACACUGGUCAUCGCAACACUUUGGGAGGCUGAGGCAGGAGGAUGGCUUGAGGCCAAGAGUUUGCGAUAGGCCUUGGAAACGCAGGGGGAGUCACCAUCCCUACAGAAAAACACAUGAAUUAGCCUAGUGUGGUGGCAUGUUCCUGUAGACCCAGCUACUUGGGAGGCUGAGGUGGGAGGAUCACUUGAGCCCAGGGAGGCUGAGACUGCAGUGAGUCAUGAUCAGGCCUCUGCACUCCAGCCUGGGUGACAGAGUGAGACCCUGUCUCAAAACAACAAAAAAGUAGCCACUAACAUCAACUGAACUUUUAUACCAGGUGCCUAUUGAUACCAUAGUUUAAUUUCUUAGAACUGUUUCUUAUUUCACUUAGCAACUCUGUCUUCAGUUACUCCCAGAUUUUUACUGUGUGUGUCCAGAUGACCUUUUGUUUAGAUUGAAUUGUCUCCCCAGAAGUAAGAUUACUGUGAGUCAUGGUGAAUGGACAUUCUCAUUACCCUUGAUGUAAGUUGACAGGGUUUUGAGUGCCUCCCAGCUAUAAUCUUAGCACUUUGGGAGGCCAAGAGAGGAGGAUUGCUUGAGGCCAAGAGUUGGAGGAGGCAGUAUGGCAGUAUGGUGAGACCCUGUCUCCACUAUUUUAAAAAAUUGACAGGCUUUACCCGGGAAGGCUUAUACACAAUUUAAACACCCCUCAUAGUAUAAGAAAGUGCCCAUUUCACUGCACCUUUGCCAGCACAGGGUAUUAUAAUUUAGUAAGUCAUUUUUUGUUUGAUUAUUUUAAAUAGAUAAAAGACCUCAUGUUACUUUACUUGUCACAUUUCAACAUCUUUCCUUAGCUUAUUAGCUCUAUCUCUUUUCUGUCUGUAAAUGGUUGUUGUUGUUGUUUUGUUCUUUGAGACAGGGUCUUGCUCUGUCACCAGGCUGGACUGUAGCGGCAUAAUCAUGCCUCGCUGCAGCCUUGACCUCCCAGGCUCAAACUUCAGCAUUCCGAGUAGCUGGGACUACAAGUGUGCACCACCACUCCCAGCUAACUUUUUUCUUUUUUUUUGGAUAGAGACAGGGUCUCGCUGUGUUGUCCAGACCGGUCUCUAGCUCCUGGCCUUAAGCAAUCUUCCUGCAUUAGCUUCUCAAAUGGCUGGAAUUUCAGGCAUGAGCCACCAUGCCUGGCCUGGGCUAGUCCCAUAUUCUCUAGAGUUCUCUUUACUUUGUGCUAGCCAAUCUCUCAUUGUGCUGUUCACCUGUUAUAAUGAAUAAUUCUCUGUAUUAAAUUUUACCACUUUAAACUUUUGAGUGGUUUAUGCUUCCUGAUUGGACUCUGACUAAUAUGUUAGGAAGGGUCCCAGGAGGUAAACCCACACAGAUGGGAUUUGGGCAUAGGUUUGGUUUCCCAGGGGGCAGUGCUGAGCUCUUUGCCAGUGGGAAAUGGGAUGCUGGUGAUUUCCAGUAGGUGACCUCACAGUGACUCAAGCUACCACUUACUGUUGAUUGUGACAAAAUGCCAGCUGAGGCACAUGCCUUGGGAGCUAAGUGGUUUCUGCCCUUGACCACUGUGAAGACUGUUUUGGGAAGGGUCGCUUUGGAUGCACUUGAGCAGGGGUCCCCAACCCCUGAGCCAUGGAGUCGUAAGGAGCCACACAGCAGGAGGUGGGACCAUCCAGUUUCAGGAAAACAAGCUUAACACGCCCACUGAUUUGACAUUAUGGGUCUCCCUCUGUUGUCCAAGGCUGGAGUGUAGUAAUGCUAUUGCAGCUGACUGCAGCCUCAACCUUCCAGGCUGAAGCGAUCCUCCUACCUCAACCUCCCACGUGGCUGAGACUACAGGUGCUUGCCACUAUGCCCAACUAAUAUUUGGAAUUUUCAUAUACGUGGAUUCCAGAGGGGUGACAGCGAACCGUGAGUGGGACCAUCCAGUUUCAGGAAAACAAGCUUAACACGCCCACUGAUUUGACAUUAUGCUCCUACCUCCCGGCAGCCUCUCCAGGCCCAGAACUUUCUCCAGUCAGUCUCUACAGACCAAGCUCAUGACUCACAAUGGCCUAUUUAGGCCCAUACCCUACGUCACGGCAGUCUCCUCAGAUGAGGCUACUGCCUGACAACAGCCUCCACAGGCACAGCUCCAUCGUUACAAUGGCCUCUUUAGACCCAGCUCCUGCCUCCCAGCCUUCUCUCCAGGCCCUGAACUUUCUCCGGUCUCCCUCUGUUGUCCAAGGCUGGAGUGUAGCAGCGCUAUCGCAGCUGACUGCAGCCUCAACCUUCCAGGCUGAAGCGAUCCUCCUACCUCAACCUCCCACGUGGCUGAGACUACAGGUGCUUGCCACUAUGCCCAACUAAUAUUUGGAAUUUUCGUAUACGUGGAUUCCAGAGGGGUGACAGCGAAACGUGGGACCAUCCAGUUUCAGGAAAACAAGCUUAACACGCCCACUGAUUCGACAUUAUGGGUCUCCCUCUGUUGUCCAAGGCUGGAGUGUAGUAAUGCUAUUGCAGCUGACUGCAGCCUCAACCUUCCAGGCUGAAGCGAUCCUCCUACCUCAACCUCCCACGUGGCUGAGACUACAGGUGCUUGCCACUAUGCCCAACUAAUAUUUGGAAUUUUCAUAUACGUGGAUUCCAGAGGGGUGACAGCGAACCGUGAGUGGGACCAUCCAGUUUCAGGAAAACAAGCUUAACACGCCCACUGAUUUGACAUUAUGCUCCUACCUCCCGGCAGCCUCUCCAGGCCCAGAACUUUCUCCAGUCAGUCUCUACAGACCAAGCUCAUGACUCACAAUGGCCUAUUUAGGCCCAUACCCUACGUCACGGCAGUCUCCUCAGAUGAGGCUACUGCCUGACAACAGCCUCCACAGGCACAGCUCCAUCGUUACAAUGGCCUCUUUAGACCCAGCUCCUGCCUCCCAGCCUUCUCUCCAGGCCCUGAACUUUCUCCGGUCUCCCUCUGUUGUCCAAGGCUGGAGUGUAGCAGCGCUAUCGCAGCUGACUGCAGCCUCAACCUUCCAGGCUGAAGCGAUCCUCCUACCUCAACCUCCCACGUGGCUGAGACUACAGGUGCUUGCCACUAUGCCCAACUAAUAUUUGGAAUUUUCGUAUACGUGGAUUCCAGAGGGGUGACAGCGAAACGUGGGACCAUCCAGUUUCAGGAAAACAAGCUUAACACGCCCACUGAUUCGACAUUAUGCUCCUACCUCCCGGCAGCCUCUCCAGGCCCAGAACUUUCUCCAGUCAGUCUCUACAGACCAAGCUCAUGACUCACAAUGGCCUAUUUAGGCCCAUACCCUACGUCACGGCAGUCUCCGCAGAUGAGGCUACUGCCUCACAACAGCCUCCACAGGCACAGCUCCAUCGGAUAUUGGAUAUAUCCAAUAUCCACAGCCCACAGCUUCCUCAAGCCAAGCUCCCCAGGCCCAGGUCAGGCCUCACGGUGGCCUCUCCAGGAUGAGCUCCUGCCCUCCGAUGGCACCUGCAGGCCCCAAAUGGUCUCCGGUCGGUGGGCUCCUCCACGCCAAGCUUGGGCCUCCCGGCGACCUCUGCAGGCCCAAGUUGUCCUGAAGUUGGCAUCUCCCGGCCGUGCCUCCCAGCAAGUAAGCAAGCUCUUUUGGCUCAACUCCUGCCCAGCUCCCAACCGCCUUUGUGGGCCCCGAACUUUCUCCAGCCAAGUUCUUUGGGCCUAAUUCCUGCCGCCCGGUGGCCUGUACGGGCCCAGCAAUGGUUGGAGAACAGCCUAUGCAGGUCCCCGCUCUUGCCUCCCAGGGGCCUCUCCAGGCCCAGCUCUUGACCCCACGGCAGCCUCUCAGGGCCAAGUCCCUGCCUGCCUCCCAGCAGCCCGCGUGCGGCCCAGCUCCUCCCUCACGGUGGCCUGUUGAUGCCCAUGCCUCUGGCACCCUGCCCAGAGGCAUGAGCCCCUGCCUCACACCGGCCCCUCCCACGCUGAGAGAGGUCAGCGUGAGCCCUUGCCUCACACCGGCCCCUCCCACGCUGAGAGAGGUCAGAGUGAGCCCCAUGCCUCACACCGGCCCCUCCCACGCUGAGAGAGGUCAGCGUGAGCCCCUUGCCUCACACCGGCCCCUCCCACGCUGAGAGAGGUCAGAGUGAGCCCUUGCCUCACACCGGCCCCUCCCAUGCUGAGAGAGGUCAGAGUGAGCCCUUGCCUCACACCGGCCCCUCCCACGCUGAGAGAGGUCAGAGUGAGCCCUUGCCUCACACCGGCCCCUCCCACGCUGAGAGAGGUCAGCGUUAGCCCCUUGCCUCACACCGGCCCCUCCCACGCUGAGAGAGGUCGUGAGCCCUUGCCUCACACCGGCCCCUCCCAUGCUGAGAGAGGUCAGAGUGAGCCCCUUGCCUCACACCGGCCCCUCCCACGCUGAGAGACGUCAGCCUGAGCCCUUGCCUCACACCGGCCCCUCCCACGCUGAGAGAGGUCAGCGUGAGCCCCUUGCCUCACACCGGCCCCUCCCACGCUGAGAGAGGUCAGCGUGAGCCCUUGCCUCACACCGGCCCCUCCCACGCUGAGAGAAGUCAGAGUGAGCCCCAUGCCUCACACCGGCCCCUCCCACGCUGAGAGAGGUCAGCGUGAGCCCUUGCCUCACACCGGCCCCUCCCACGCUGAGAGAGGUCAGCGUGAGCCCUUGCCUCACACCGGCCCCUCCCACGCUGAGAGAGGUCAGCGUGAGCCCCUUGCCUCACACCGGCCCCUCCCACGCUGAGAGAGGUCAGCGUGAGCCCUUGCCUCACACCGGCCCCUCCCACGCUGAGAGAGGUCAGCGUGAGCCCUUGCCUCACACCGGCCCCUCCCACGCUGAGAGAGGUCAGAGUGAGCCCCAUGCCUCACACCGGCCCCUCCCAUGCUGAGAGAGGUCAGAGCGAGCCCCAUGCCUCACACCGCCCCCUCCCACGGUGAGAGAGGUCAGCGUGAGCCCUUGCCUCACACCGGCCCCUCCCACGCUGAGAGAGGUCAGAGUGAGCCCCAUGCCUCACACCAGCCCCUCCCACGCUGAGAGAGGUCAGAGUGAGCCCCAUGCCUCACACCAGCCCCUCCCACGCUGAGAGAGGUCAGCGUGAGCCCUUGCCUCACACCGGCCCCUCCCACAGUGAGAGAGGUCAGAGUGAGCCCCAUGCCUCACACCGGCCCCUCCCACGCUGAGAGAGGUCAGAGUGAGCCCCAUGCCUCACACCGCCCCCUCCCACAGUGAGAGAGGUCAGCGUGAGCCCUUGCCUCACACCGGCCCCUCCCACGCUGAGAGAGGUCAGAGUGAGCCCCAUGCCUCACACCGGCCCCUCCCACGCUGAGAGAGGUCAGCGU